This 484-nucleotide ribosomal RNA is filed under the name uncultured bacterium. RNAcentral's name for it is "partial 16S ribosomal RNA". It matches the Rfam family "Bacterial small subunit ribosomal RNA", at positions 30 to 507 of the family's 1533-position model. The record is from RNAcentral.
AUUGAACGCUGGCGGCAGGCCUAACACAUGCAAGUCGAGCGGAUGAAGGGAGCUUGCUCCUGGAUUCAGCGGCGGACGUGUGAGUAAUGCCUAGGAAUCUGCCUGGUAGUGGGGGAUAACGUCCGGAAACGGGCGCUAAUACCGCAUACGUCCUGAGGGAGAAAGUGGGGGAUCUUCGGACCUCACGCUAUCAGAUGAGCCUAGGUCGGAUUAGCUAGUUGGUGGGGUAAAGGCCUACCAAGGCGACGAUCCGUAACUGGUCUGAGAGGAUGAUCAGUCACACUGGAACUGAGACACGGUCCAGACUCCUACGGGAGGCAGCAGUGGGGAAUAUUGGACAAUGGGCGAAAGCCUGAUCCAGCCAUGCCGCGUGUGUGAAGAAGGUCUUCGGAUUGGAAAGCACUUUAAGUUGGGAGGAAGGGCAGUAAGUUAAUACCUUGCUGUUUUGACGUUACCAACAGAAUAAGCACCGGCUAACUUCGUG